UAAUUUCCAUAGUAAAAGAAAUAUAAAUAAAAUAGAAAAUAAUAAUAUCAAAUAAUUAAAAAAUUAAUUUGUAAGACACUUAUCAAUAAAAUAAAAUAAAUAUUAAAAUAAAUUUCUAUUAAAAAAACAUGUAUUUUUAUAAUAUUUUGUUUAAAAACUAGUACAAUUCAAUUUAAAAUAAGUACAAUUCAGUUUAAAAUAGGCUUAAUACCUCUUUUCGUCCCUCUUUAAGGGGUGAAUGUUCAAUUGCG
RNAcentral lists this long non-coding RNA (251 nucleotides) under Vigna radiata. RNAcentral's name for it is "long non-coding RNA (VRAD_LNC006551)". The record is from RNAcentral. Lineage: Eukaryota; Viridiplantae; Streptophyta; Magnoliopsida; Fabales; Fabaceae.